This 479-nucleotide ribosomal RNA is filed under the name Alternaria tenuissima. RNAcentral's name for it is "eukaryotic LSU rRNA". The stretch from base 131 to 284 matches the Rfam family "5.8S ribosomal RNA". Lineage: Eukaryota; Fungi; Ascomycota; Dothideomycetes; Pleosporales; Pleosporaceae. The record is from RNAcentral.
UACAGCCUUGCUGAAUUAUUCACCCUUGUCUUUUGCGUACUUCUUGUUUCCUUGGUGGGUUCGCCCACCACUAGGACAAACAUAAACCUUUUGUAAUUGCAAUCAGCGUCAGUAACAAAUUAAUAAUUACAACUUUCAACAACGGAUCUCUUGGUUCUGGCAUCGAUGAAGAACGCAGCGAAAUGCGAUAAGUAGUGUGAAUUGCAGAAUUCAGUGAAUCAUCGAAUCUUUGAACGCACAUUGCGCCCUUUGGUAUUCCAAAGGGCAUGCCUGUUCGAGCGUCAUUUGUACCCUCAAGCUUUGCUUGGUGUUGGGCGUCUUGUCUCUAGCUUUGCUGGAGACUCGCCUUAAAGUAAUUGGCAGCCGGCCUACUGGUUUCGGAGCGCAGCACAAGUCGCACUCUCUAUCAGCAAAGGUCUAGCAUCCAUUAAGCCUUUUUUUUCAACUUUUGACCUCGGAUCAGGUAGGGAUACCCGCUG